GGAGAGGUGCCAGAGUGGUAAUGGAGCAGAUUGCUAAUCUGUCAGCGCGUAAGUGCUGCCCGGGUUCGAGUCCCGGUCUCUCCGCAA
This 87-nucleotide transfer RNA is filed under the name Flavobacteriaceae bacterium. RNAcentral's name for it is "tRNA-Ser". It matches the Rfam family "tRNA". From Rfam's summary of the family: Transfer RNA (tRNA) molecules are approximately 80 nucleotides in length. Lineage: Bacteria; Pseudomonadati; Bacteroidota; Flavobacteriia; Flavobacteriales; Flavobacteriaceae. RNAcentral also lists the same sequence under 1 other name. The record is from RNAcentral.